Molecule: long non-coding RNA, 361 nt
Organism: Notothenia coriiceps (black rockcod)
Lineage: Eukaryota; Metazoa; Chordata; Actinopteri; Perciformes; Nototheniidae
Exons: 3
Source: RefSeq, a predicted model, not a curated record
CCUUCUACAGGCGUCUCUGAAACCAUGACUCUCCUCCACAGAGUGCAGACCACAUUCACUCAGCCGCUACAUGCUGGAGUUCGGCUUUAUCAUCCUCAUGGAACCACAGCUGAGUUCUGUAAACUGAAAUAGCCUGAAGUCAUUUGAGGAACUCUUCUACUUCUUAAACUCAUUGUGUGUCCAUCAUUGUUGCUGAGAGCUGAUUGUUCAUGUCUUCACUGCACAGAGAUCAGCUGUCAAUCAAACAUGAUGGGAUGUGCUUUAACAUCUUCUCAUGAGUUGUUCUGUAGAUGUUGGAGUUUCUUCAGGCGGCGCUCCUUCCUGUGUCUGUGUAGCCAUGGAGGCUAAUUGAAGAAGAAGU